This 426-nucleotide ribosomal RNA is filed under the name uncultured bacterium. RNAcentral describes it as "partial 16S ribosomal RNA". It matches the Rfam family "Bacterial small subunit ribosomal RNA", at positions 354 to 796 of the family's 1533-position model. The record is from RNAcentral.
GUGGGGAAUCUUGCGCAAUGGGCGAAAGCCUGACGCAGCCAUGCCGCGUGAAUGAUGAAGGUCUUAGGAUUGUAAAAUUCUUUCACCGGGGACGAUAAUGACGGUACCCGGAGAAGAAGCUCCGGCUAACUUCGUGCCAGCAGCCGCGGUAAUACGAAGGGGGCUAGCGUUGCUCGGAAUUACUGGGCGUAAAGGGCGCGUAGGCGGACAGCUUAGUCAGAGGUGAAAGCCCAGGGCUCAACCUUGGAAUUGCCUUUGAUACUGGCUGUCUUGAGUGUGGGAGAGGUGAGUGGAACUCCGAGUGUAGAGGUGAAAUUCGUAGAUAUUCGGAAGAACACCAGUGGCGAAGGCGACUCACUGGCCCAAUACUGACGCUGAGGCGCGAAAGCGUGGGGAGCAAACAGGAUUAGAUACCCCCGGUAGUCC